Molecule: ribosomal RNA, 433 nt
Filed under: uncultured bacterium
Lineage: Bacteria
Description: partial 16S ribosomal RNA
Rfam family: Bacterial small subunit ribosomal RNA
Source: RNAcentral
AGCGAACGCUGGCGGCAGGCCUAACACAUGCAAGUCGAACGGACCCUUCGGGGUUAGUGGCGGACGGGUGAGUAACACGUGGGAACGUGCCUUUAGGUUCGGAAUAGCUCCUGGAAACGGGUGGUAAUGCCGAAUGUGCCCUUCGGGGGAAAGAUUUAUCGCCUUUAGAGCGGCCCGCGUCUGAUUAGCUAGUUGGUGAGGUAACGGCUCACCAAGGCGACGAUCAGUAGCUGGUCUGAGAGGAUGACCAGCCACACUGGGACUGAGACACGGCCCAGACUCCUACGGGAGGCAGCAGUGGGGAAUCUUGCGCAAUGGGCGAAAGCCUGAUCCAGCAAUGCCGCGUGAGUGAUGAAGGCCUUAGGGUUGUAAAGCUCUUUUACCCGGGAUGAUAAUGACAGUACCGGGAGAAUAAGCUCCGGCUAACUCCGUG